GACUAACGCUGGCGGCGUGCUUAACACAUGCAAGUCGAACGGAAAGGCCCUGCUUGCAGGGUACUCGAGUGGCGAACGGGUGAGUAACACGUGGGUGAUCUGCCCUGCACUUCGGGAUAAGCCUGGGAAACUGGGUCUAAUACCGGAUAGGAGCCAUUUUUAGUGUGAUGGUUGGAAAGUUUUUUCGGUGUAGGAUGAGCUCGCGGCCUAUCAGCUUGUUGGUGGGGUAAUGGCCUACCAAGGCGGCGACGGGUAGCCGGCCUGAGAGGGUGGACGGCCACAUUGGGACUGAGAUACGGCCCAGACUCCUACGGGAGGCAGCAGUGGGGAAUAUUGCACAAUGGGCGCAAGCCUGAUGCAGCGACGCCGCGUGGGGGAUGACGGCCUUCGGGUUGUAAACUCCUUUCGCUAGGGACGAAGCUUUUUGUGACGGUACCUAGAUAAGAAGCACCGGCUAACUACGUG
RNAcentral lists this ribosomal RNA (465 nucleotides) under uncultured bacterium. RNAcentral's name for it is "partial 16S ribosomal RNA". It matches the Rfam family "Bacterial small subunit ribosomal RNA", at positions 28 to 507 of the family's 1533-position model. The record is from RNAcentral.